Molecule: ribosomal RNA, 800 nt
Filed under: uncultured bacterium
Lineage: Bacteria
Description: bacterial SSU rRNA
Rfam family: Archaeal small subunit ribosomal RNA
Source: RNAcentral
AUUGCCCUUACGGCUCAGUAACACGUAGUCAACAUGCCCAGGGGACGUGGAUAACCUCGGGAAACUGAGGAUAAACCGCGAUAGGCCAAGAUUUCUGGAAUGGAUCAUGGCUGAAAUCUAUAUGGCCCUUGGAUUGGACUGCGGCCGAUCAGGCUGUUGGUGAGGUAAUGGCCCACCAAACCUAUAACCGGUACGGGCUUUGAGAGAAGGAGCCCGGAGAUGGGCACUGAGACAAGGGCCCAGGCCCUAUGGGGCGCAGCAGGCGCGAAAACUCUGCAAUAGGCGAAAGCUUGACAGGGUUACUCUGAGUGAUGUCCGCUAAGGGCAUCUUUUGGUACCUCUAAAAAUGGUGCAGAAUAAGGGGUGGGCAAGUCUGGUGUCAGCCGCCGCGGUAAUACCAGCACCCCGAGUGGUCGGGACGAUUAUUGGGCCUAAAGCAUCCGUAGCUUGUCCUGCAAGUCUUCCGUUAAAUCCACCUGCUCAACAGAUGGGCUGCGGGAGAUACUACAGGGCUAGGAGGCGGGAGAGGCAAGCGGUACUCAGUGGGUAGGGGUAAAAUCCUCUGAUCCACUGAAGACCACCAGUGGCGAAGGCGGCUUGCCAGAACGCGCUCGACGGUGAGGGAUGAAAGCUGGGGGAGCAAACCGGAUUAGAUACCCGGGUAGUCCCAGCUGUAAACGAUGCAGACUCGGUGAUGGGUUGGCUUCGGGCCAACCCAGUGCCGCAGGGAAGCCGUUAAGUCUGCCGCCUGGGGAGUACGGUCGCAAGACUGAAACUUAAAGGAAUUGGCGGGGGAGCAC